AUGUCUAAAUUGUCAGCAGAAGAAAAAGAACAAUAUGAAUUCAACAAUAUUGAAUUUUUUUUCCUGCAAAUGAACAUCAACAUAAGCAACAAAGAGUUCAACAUAAAAAUCGAAAAACAAAAUCAAGAAACAAAUCCAACGAAUUUCAUCAUAACUUUCAUCGAUGCAAUAACUUGUAUGAAUUUUUUGUUUUACAGGUAA
Vicia faba (fava bean) is the source of this 201-nucleotide non-coding RNA. The record is from the annotation of a GenBank genome assembly. Lineage: Eukaryota; Viridiplantae; Streptophyta; Magnoliopsida; Fabales; Fabaceae.